Molecule: ribosomal RNA, 474 nt
Filed under: uncultured bacterium
Lineage: Bacteria
Description: bacterial SSU rRNA
Rfam family: Bacterial small subunit ribosomal RNA
Source: RNAcentral
CGCUGGCGGCGUGCUUAAUACAUGCAAGUCAACUUGACUUUAGAUAGCAAUAUCGAAAAGUAGGGUGGCGCACGGGUGCGUAACGCGUAGGUAAUCUGCCCUGAGGUCUGACAUAACCCGUCGAAAGGCGGGCUAACAUCAGAUGAUAUAUAAUCACGACAUCGUGGAAAUAUCAAAUCUUCGGAGCCUUGGGAUGAGCCUGCGUCUGAUUAGGUAGUUGGCGGAGUAACAGCCCACCAAGCCUACGAUCAGUAGCUGGUCUGAGAGGAUGAUCAGCCACACUGGAACUGAGACACGGUCCAGACUCCUACGGGAGGCAGCAGUAAGGAAUAUUGCUCAAUGGGGGAAACCCUGAAGCAGCAACGCCGCGUGAAGGAUGAAAUACUUUUGUAUGUAAACUUCUGUAAGAUGGGAAAAAUAUUCUCCUCGGGAGAAUUGAUUGUACCAUCAGAGUAAGCCCCGGCUAACUACGUG